GAUGAACGCUGGCGGCGUGCCUAAUACAUGCAAGUCGAGCGAACAGACGAGGAGCUUGCUCCUCUGACGUUAGCGGCGGACGGGUGAGUAACACGUGGAUAACCUACCUAUAAGACUGGGAUAACUUCGGGAAACCGGAGCUAAUACCGGAUAAUAUAUUGAACCGCAUGGUUCAAUAGUGAAAGACGGUUUUGCUGUCACUUAUAGAUGGAUCCGCGCCGCAUUAGCUAGUUGGUAAGGUAACGGCUUACCAAGGCGACGAUGCGUAGCCGACCUGAGAGAGUGAUCGGCCACACUGGAACUGAGCCACGGUCCAGACUCCUACGGGAGGCAGCAGUAGGGAAUCUUCCGCAAUGGGCGAAAGCCUGACGGAGCAACGCCGCGUGAGUGAUGAAGGUCUUCGGAUCGUAAAACUCUGUUAUUAGGGAAGAACAAAUGUGUAAGUAACUAUGCACGUCUUGACGGUACCUAAUCAGAAAGCCACGGCUAACUACGUG
RNAcentral lists this ribosomal RNA (497 nucleotides) under uncultured bacterium. RNAcentral's name for it is "partial 16S ribosomal RNA". It matches the Rfam family "Bacterial small subunit ribosomal RNA", at positions 28 to 507 of the family's 1533-position model. The record is from RNAcentral.